GGGAAUUCCUGCACAGACAGAUACUGAUGGGGCUGCAGAUCAAAGUUUCCAAGCAGGAUUAAGCACAAGCACACAAGGUCAGUACGCACCUACCUUUGCAGGAGGGCAGCCACGACCUACCGGCCAACCAGUGCCCCUCAGUGGUGGUCCUGACAUGCAGGGCUAUGGACUUGACGAUGAAGAAAUGUUGAGGCUCAGAGCAGAGAGAGGCGGAAGGGCUGGCGGAUGGAGUGUAGAGUUCAGUAGAAA
This 249-nucleotide unclassified non-coding RNA is filed under the name Hevea brasiliensis (rubber tree). Lineage: Eukaryota; Viridiplantae; Streptophyta; Magnoliopsida; Malpighiales; Euphorbiaceae. The record is from RNAcentral.